This 258-nucleotide ribosomal RNA is filed under the name uncultured bacterium. RNAcentral's name for it is "partial 16S ribosomal RNA". It matches the Rfam family "Bacterial small subunit ribosomal RNA", at positions 517 to 774 of the family's 1533-position model. The record is from RNAcentral.
GCGGUAAUACGAAGGGUGCAAGCGUUACUCGGAAUUACUGGGCGUAAAGCGUGCGUAGGGGGUUUGUUAAGUCAGAGGUGAAAGCCUGGAGCUCAACUCCAGAACUGCCUUUGAUACUGGAAGUCUUGAGUUCGGGAGAGGUGAGUGGAACUGCGAGUGUAGAGGUGAAAUUCGUAGAUAUUCGCAAGAACACCAGUGGCGAAGGCGGCUCACUGGCCCGAUACUGACGCUGAGGCACGAAAGCGUGGGGAGCAAACA